UACGGAGGAUCCGAGCGUUAUCCGGAUUUAUUGGGUUUAAAGGGUGCGCAGGCGGGGGAUUAAGUCGGCGGUGAAAUUUUGCAGCUCAACUGUAAAAGUGCCUUCGAAACUGGUUUCCUUGAGUGUAGAUGAAGUAGGCGGAAUUUGUGGUGUAGCGGUGAAAUGCAUAGAUAUCACGAGGAACUCCGAUUGCGCAGGCAGCUUACUAAACUACUACUGACGCUCAGGCACGAAGGCGUGGGGAUCAAACAGGAUUAGAUACCCGGGUAGUUCCU
Molecule: ribosomal RNA, 275 nt
Filed under: uncultured prokaryote
Description: partial 16S ribosomal RNA
Rfam family: Bacterial small subunit ribosomal RNA
Source: RNAcentral